CGGGCAAGACAGAUGACCGCUCCUCGUCGCGUAAAGCUUUGGGGGGAGGAAAGUCCGAGCACCGAUCCCCCGUCGCGUAAAGCUUUGGGGGAGAAAGCGAGAGCGGCUAACGACCGCCAGGAUAUAGUGAGGAAACGAACGCUCACGUGGCUAACGUUUUUUCAUAAACCUAGGGAAAGUGUCCCCUUUGCGAAAGCUUCGGGGACCACUCGAAAUCUCGGAAACGAGAUGAAGGGUGGCCACAGAGACAAUACUAGUCUGCCAAGCAGACUAUCCUGAGCAAGCCGAAGUGAAAACGAAGGCGCGUCGAAGGAUAAACCCUUCGAUAAACUCAGGGUCGCCUUGGUAGGCGAAAGGUGAAAAGUGUGUGGGUGUUGUUCGACGAAAGUCGGGCUGCUACUGCACUCCCCCGUUGGCAACAACGGGGCGUGACCCGUAAAAUCUCUUCGAGAUCACGGGCCCGUGGUAAACCCUCUCCGGUGCAAGAGCAAGGUUCCCCUUCGCAUAAAGCUUCGGGGGACAGGUCGCUCGCUUGAGGUUCGCUGCGAAGCAGAUCCCAGAGAGAUGGUCAUCAGACUCCGCACCAUCAGGUAGCGGGGCGAACAAAACUCGGCUUACCGUCUCGCCCGAAUC
Molecule: RNase P RNA, 633 nt
Filed under: Candidatus Uhrbacteria bacterium
Lineage: Bacteria; Candidatus Uhriibacteriota
Description: RNase P RNA component class A
Rfam family: Bacterial RNase P class A
About the family: Ribonuclease P (RNase P) is a ubiquitous endoribonuclease, found in archaea, bacteria and eukarya as well as chloroplasts and mitochondria. Its best characterised activity is the generation of mature 5'-ends of tRNAs by cleaving the 5'-leader elements of precursor-tRNAs.
Source: RNAcentral